GUCGUCGUCGUCAUCAUCAUCAUCGUCGUCAUUGUCAUUGUCAUUGCUCUCUCCAUCACCUUUAGCUUCACCUUCAGAAUCCUCCUCUUCAUCAUCACUCCCUUCUUCUCCAGAUGAAUCAUCACCAUCAUCAUCCUGAUCAUCAUCACCAUUAUCACUAUCAUCCUCCUCAUUUUCACCAGCAUCCUUGCAUUCAGCAGAAGGCUUUUCCAAUCUAUUUAGUUCAGCCAAAGGAUACCUGCAAAGCAUUUCCACUAGCAUGACACUUUUUCAUACCUUAAUACUGAACAUUUAAUGUUGACUUCAAAACAAAAAAGAAUAAAUUUGUCUCUACCUCAUAUCAGUUGCAAUCAAAUCUGGUACAAUAUCAACAUAGUCUGGAUGAGAUCUCAUCUAAAAAUAAAAAUAUAAAACAAGUAAUGGCAGACAUAUGAUGCAUACAAGAACAGCUAAAAAUGCCAAAUAAAGAUUCUUGAAACUUCAUGAAAAGCUAAGACAUUCAAAACAUAAUUUUUUUUUUAAAAAAAGGCCCUUUUUUUAUAAAGGAAAAGGGUGUCCACUGGCAUGAGAAUCCCAUAUUGCAGACUUUGGGAAAGGUUAGGAGUCCAUAGCUUCCAUUAUUUGAGCACAUGAACCUCAAAUCAUGAAAGAGCAAUCUUACUAUUGCACAAUAGCUCACACUUAUUUCAUAGCAAAAUCGAUUGUAAUGAAAAUAAAUAAAGAUAACCCGCAUAUAGCAAGCAAAAAGAUCACUUCUAAUACAAGCAAGGAAAUAUAGUUAAAAGAGCAAUAAAAAGAAAAGAGCAAGGCUCAGUCGACACCAAACAGACCAUUCAGGUAGCAAUAUGAGAAAUAUUUGACAACUACAAACAUAUAUGUAAACCAAGGUUCUGCACCGAAAACUACAUUUAAUAAAUAGAAACCAAACUCAUCACACAGCAAAAGAGGUUGCAGCAAAAUGGCACGUAUAUACUUGAUCCAAUCUUAUAAAGUGAAUGAACUAUUUUCAUGCCCAAAUGAAAAUAGAUCCAACCUUACAUAUGUCAAGAACACUAGUAAAGCCCUCUUAAAUCAUUCAUUAAGUUUGUCAAUCUAGAAUCCCAAAAUUUUGUCAGAUGCCUGGUUUUUCAUUAUGCUUUCUAUUAAGAACUAUGAAAUUCGAAAUGAGAGCUAUAAAUCUAAAGAUUAGCGAUCCUUAAUUUAAUAAAACUAUAUAAUUAGUCAGAACAUGUUCCAAAGACAAAUGAUAAAGAAAAAUUGUCACAAAUCAUAGUGAAAGAUUUGGCUUUAGUUUUCUCAUGUCCCAAAAUAGAGAGGAAUAAAUGGGAAAAAAAUGUUUCAAUAUCAUCCAGUUCCCACAAUCUCAUCACAACAAAAAUAGCUAAGAACAGCUACAUUCCAAACCAACAGUAAUUAAGCAAAAUAGCCCAGUGCUUAAUUCAACAAAACGAAUUAAAAAGAAUAAUACCCCAUAAAUGUUACAGAAGGGAAAAACUCAAACAAAAACCGUGAAUGUCCCAACAAGUCUAGCAGCAUUUGAUAAAAACAAUAACUUUAAGAGAAAGUAGCAACACAGAAAGUGCUACUGCUUUACAAAGAUAAACUCGUAAUCAUAAAGUUCCUGUCUAUGGAAUUAUAUUAAUUUGUACAAACACGUUAUUAAUCACAAAAUGGUUCUCCAUAAGAGAUCCUUGCAUACAAAAUACCCUUUUCCUCAGAGAGCUAGCCAUCAAAGAAGACAUCCUUAAAAUCAAAUAAAAGCAUCAUAUCAACUCCUGAUAUUGCAACAAAAGAUGCAAAACACAAAGAUUAGAGACUAGAAUUUGGAGACAGAGCAAUGCAUCACAAAGAGGAGAGAAAGCAGAGACUUUUGAGCAAGCAGAGCAGUCUCCACCACCACAGAUUGCAGUAUUACAGCGGUGUGAAACGUUAUCCAUAUUUAUUGGUCUGUAUAUAAAUUUUCUUGAAAUCACCCAGCCAGAAGAUAGAGACACUGAGAGAUAGGGAGGCAUAGAGAGAGAAGCGCUUUUUUCAGCGAUCGGAGCAGGAAAUUUUUUUUGUAUCAUUAGGCAAGAAGACUCGCACACCGAACAGGGACAGAAAUGAUUGCAGG
RNAcentral lists this unclassified non-coding RNA (2113 nucleotides) under Hevea brasiliensis (rubber tree). The record is from RNAcentral. Lineage: Eukaryota; Viridiplantae; Streptophyta; Magnoliopsida; Malpighiales; Euphorbiaceae.